UUGUAAUCUCAAGAAGUGUUUUCCGCUUCGGACCAUGCCUAAGUCCCUUGGAAAAGGGCAUCAUAGAGGGUGAUAAUCCCGUACAUGGCAUGGAGCGCCCGAAGCUUUGUGAUACGCUUUCUACGAGUCGAGUUGUUUGGGAAUGCAGCUCAAAAUGGGUGGUAAAUGCCAUCUAAGGCUAAAUAUUGGGGAGAGACCGAUAGCGAACAAGUACAGUGAUGGAAAGAUGAAAAGAACUUUGAAAAGAGAGUUAAACAGUACGUGAAAUUGCCAAAAGGGAAGGGUAGGAGGUCAGAGAUGCGUCUUGGGAUUCAGCCUUGCUUUUGCAUGGUGUUUUUCCCAAGUUGCAGGCCAACGUCGGUUUUGGGCACUGGAGAAGGGUAGGAGGAACGUGGCACCUCUCGGGGUGUGUUAUAGCCUCCUACUGGAUACAGCGACCGAGACCGAGGAACGCAGCGUACUCGUAAGAGCGGGCCUUUUGGCACCUUUACGCUUAGGGCGUUGGCAUAAUGGCCCUCUACCACCCGUCUUGAAACACG
RNAcentral lists this ribosomal RNA (539 nucleotides) under Sporisorium sp. DMKU-SP27. RNAcentral's name for it is "LSU rRNA". It matches the Rfam family "Eukaryotic large subunit ribosomal RNA", at positions 143 to 663 of the family's 3401-position model. The record is from RNAcentral. Lineage: Eukaryota; Fungi; Basidiomycota; Ustilaginomycetes; Ustilaginales; Ustilaginaceae.